UGGCGCCGAAGUUAGGCUCCCGCUUUUUCCCAUGAUCCCUUUGUUUACUCUCUUUCCUGCUGGCUUACGACCCCUCACACCCCCCACCUAACAUUAGUGGUGCAGCAACAAUGGCGAGCAAUAUCGGAGCGAUCCAACCGUACAGUUUAGAGCCAGACGCCAUCUCAGUACAUGGACCUAGUCGUCGACAAGCAGAUGUUUACCGUAGUAACUUGCACGUCACACAUACAAGCUUUUUUUCAUCUGCUCUUGAUUCACAACGUUUUUAAUGAAGAAACUCUCAGAAAUGCAGUUUCUCAACUUUCUUCCUAUCAUGAGAAAAAUGCUACAAGAACAUGCUAAAAACAUGAUCUUCAUCAGAGUGAGCCUUUAAAGUACGUCCAAAUUAAAAUGUCAUUUUUUCAGUAGAACCCCUUCAGAAUCUCAACAUUUUCAGGAUUUGCUGAGACAUAAUUAUAAAUCGAACACAGACUUUAAAUUUGGUUCAGGUACCUCUGGAACAUCUCCUGACAUUUCUGGAACAUCUCGAUCACAUCAUAGCUUCAUUUCUUUUUCGUUUCAACUACAGUACUUGAAUGCCUGCUGGACAUUGGCUCCACAACUGAAGAAGGUCCUGGUGGAUUUCCUGAACACCUCUGGAACUUCUCAGGUCGACCGUAAACAUUUUAGCUGUUUUUGAGUCAGUUUGGGGGUUCUGUUGAGAUGUGUGGGUCAAUGCCGCAGACUGCAGUUGUUGUGCAGAACUUACAUAUUGAAGAUGAAGACGUUUGAUUCCUGUUGAGGAUCUGUGAGCUGCUGCUUUACCUCCACAAGCAGCUUUCUCUCCCGUACAGCUCUGGCUUUGGUGCGAGACGUCUGUGAAGGAACCUUUCCACUCCGUUAUCCUGUGAUUAUCAAUCAUUAGUAACUGGAAACCAAAACACAAACUUGAUUGUGCUCGGCGCUCUGAAGGAAGAGCACGCUCACAGCAGACGUGCGCUAUUAUGUGGAAUGAUUGUUGUGCGGUCGACAACGGACCGCGGAGGCCGCUCUGGACCCGUCACUGAUCAGGUCGAGCUCGUCUGGGUAUCCGUUUACUCUGAAAUCAUGAGGCAGCUGCGUGUGCAUCCACUCCCAGCACAGCUGCCUUUCAAGUGUGCUCAGAACAUGUUAUCAGCAUUUGAAGACGUCACAUUAAUUUUCCAGAAGCGGUCGCAGAGCCGAGGCUGUGGGUGGUGGACGGCUCUGAUUACACGCCGAAGCUGUCAUCACGCAAAUCAAGAUUUGACCCAAAAGAUCAGCUGAAGGAAGCCAAAUGUAAGCCUGAUAAAAGCCGCCAAACCAAAUGAGUUACGGUCAUUGUCCUCUGUGUCAGUCAAAGGUCAUGGAAACUAUUUGCCACUUUAGAAAUUCUUAUUUUUGGAUGGAAGCGAUAUUCCAUGUAGAUCUUCUGUUUGUGAACCAAAGAGAAAAGCUGCUGCGGUGAAAUUCCCUCCAUUCCUGCCUAGAAUGACACACGCACGUCUGAAAACAAAACCA
This is a non-coding RNA of Oryzias latipes (Japanese medaka), 1518 nucleotides long. Lineage: Eukaryota; Metazoa; Chordata; Actinopteri; Beloniformes; Adrianichthyidae. The record is from RefSeq and is a predicted model, not a curated record.